Manis javanica (Malayan pangolin) is the source of this 3095-nucleotide non-coding RNA. Lineage: Eukaryota; Metazoa; Chordata; Mammalia; Pholidota; Manidae. The record is from RefSeq and is a predicted model, not a curated record.
CUUCGGACUUCGAGGUUCUUCUGGGCAGAGCGCCCCGCAGUCCCUCUUGGAAAACGGCCUGGGCCGGUGAUGGCCACGGCGCGCACAGGGCGCAGCGCCCCGGAGAUCUUUGCCACGAUGGAGUACGGACCAGCGCCGGAGAGCCACGCAUGCGCACUGGCCUGGCUGGACACCCAGGACCGGCAGUUGGGUCACUAUGUAAAUGGAAAGUGGUUAAAGCCAGAACACAGGAAUUCAGUGGUUUGCCAGGAUCCCAUCACAGGAGAGAACUUAGCCACUUGCCUCCAGGGACAGGCUGAAGAUGUGAUGACAGCCUCAGUGGCAGCCAAGACUGCAUUCCACAACUGGAGCAGGCUCCCUGGAGCCUCCCGGGCCCAGUACCUGACCAGGCUGGCCAAAGUGAUCCAGAAGCACCAGCGGCUGCUCUGGACGCUGGAGUCCCUGGUUACUGGGCGGGCCGUUCGAGAGGUUCGAGACAGGGAUGUCUCCCUGGCCCAGCAGUUGCUCCAGUACUAUGCAGUCCAGGCGCACACCCAGGAGGAGGCGCUGGCAGGCUGGGAGCCCAUGGGAGUAAUUGGUCUCAUCUUGCCACCCACAUUCUCCUUCCUUGAGAUGAUGUGGAGGAUUUGCCCCGCCCUGGCUGUGGGCUGCACUGUGGUGGUCCUCGUGUCCCCGGCCUCCCCAACACCCCUCCUCCUGGCCCAGCUGGCAGGGGAGCUAGCCCCAUUCCCAGGAAUCCUCAAUGUGGUCAGUUGCCCUGCCUCCCUGGGGCAUGUCCUGGCCUUCCUGCCUGGAGUCCAGAAGGUGGCCUUCUGUGGAACUAUCAAGGAAGGACGUGACCUUCGGCAGAGCCUGGCGGGCAAGGGCGCUGAGCUGGGCCUGGCUCUUGGGGCCGAGUCACUACUGUUGCUGACGGAAGCAGCAGACAUGGAUUCGGCCGUGGAGGGUGUCGUGGAUGCAGCCUGGUCCGACCGCAGCCCGGGUGGCAUCAGGCUACUCAUCCAGGAGUCAGUGUGGGAUGAGACCAUGAGGCGGCUGCAGGCACGGAUGGAGCGGCUUCGGGGCGGCCGAGGGCUGGAUGGGGCUGUGGACAUGGGGGCCCGAGGGGCUGCCGCAUAUGACGUGGCCCGGCUCUACGUGCUCGAGGCCCAGAGCCAGGGCGCACAGGUGUUCCAGGCUGGUGAUGUGCCCUCAGACAGCCCAUUCUUUCCCCCAACCUUGGUCUCUGACCUGCCGCCAGCCUCUCCAUGUUCUCAGGAAGAGGUACCGUGGCCUCUGGUUGUGGCCUCCCCAUUUCGCACAGCCACGGAGGCACUGACCAUGGCCAACGGGACACCGCGAGGAGGCAGUGCCAGUGUGUGGAGUGAAAGAUUGGGGCAGGCCCUGGAGCUGGCCUACGGGCUCCAGAUGGGCACAGUCUGGAUCAAUGCCCAUGGCCUCAGAGACCCUGCAGUGCCCACAGGAGGCUGCAAGGAAAGUGGGUCUUCCUGGCACGGGGGCCUGGAUGGUCUGUAUGAGUACCUGCGGCCUUCAGGGACCCCUGACCGGAUGAUGUACCUUUCUGAGAGUCUGAGCUAUGACACCUUUGGCCUUGCUGUCUCCCCAACCCUACCAGCUGGGCCUGAAAAGGGGCCCAGCCCAGCACUCCCGUAUGGGAUCUUCGUUGGGGGCCGUUUCCAGGCUCCUGGGGCCCGGAGCUCCAGGCCUGUCCGGGAUUCACAGGGCGAUCUCUACGGCUAUGUGGCUGAGGGGGGAGCCAAGGACAUCCGAGGUGCUGUGGAGGCUGCUCACCAGGCUGCCCCUGGCUGGGUGAGCCAGUCACCAGGGGCCCGGGCGGCCCUGCUGUGGGCUGUGGCGGCCGCACUGGAGCACCGGGAGUCCACCAUGGCCUCGAGGCUGGAGAGGCUCGGCGUGCCGCUCAAGGCCGCCAAAGCAGAGGUGGAGCUGAGCGUGAGGCGGCUUCGGGCAUGGGGGGCCCGCGCCCAGGCCCAAGGUCACACACUGCAGGUAGCAGAGCUGAGAGGCCCUGUGCUGCGGCUACGGGAGCCACUGGGUGUGCUGGCUAUCGUGUGCCCAGACGAGUGGCCCUUGCUGGCCUUCGUGUCCCUGCUGGCCCCUGCCCUGGCCUACGGCAACUCUGUGGUCUUGGUGCCCAGCAGGGCCUGUCCCAUCCCCGCCUUGGAGGUCUGCCAGGAGAUGGCCACCUUGUUGCCAGCGGGCCUGGUGAAUGUGGUGACAGGAGACCGCGAUCACCUGACCCGCUGCCUGGCCUUGCACCAGGACAUCCAAGCCAUGUGGUAUUUCGGAUCUGCCCAGACACUUGGGCUGCUUCCAUAUCUUGGCUACUGUGACUAAUGCUACAGUGAACCCACGACUACAGAUAACUCUUUUGAGAGGCUGAAUUCACUUUAGAUGUAUUUAAGGAUCUCAAGAUCAAUCAUCUUGGGUUAUCUGAGCAGGCCCUGCAUCUAACGACAAGUAUUCUUAAGACAGAAGAGAAGACAGUGAGAAGAAGAGAAUGCCACACAAAGACGGACACCAAGACUGAACUCAAUUUCUAGUCCCCCCACCCCCACAUGCUUCCCCAGAGAUGGGAGGUGGGAGGUGGGCAAAUUUGGCUGACAUUCUGCAUUUCAAAGCCUAAAAUCACAUGGUUGGUCUUUCUGGCCUGACCAGCCCAGUCCUGAGUCACCUCAUUAGCAUAAAUUCAAGUGUGGUCAGGGGCCCCCUCUGAAUAACAAAGACACCCUUAUCCCUUUUCAGGGAAAUCCUAAGGACUAAGAGGUUGUCUCCCUGGAUGCUGAGGGACAAAGGCCAGCGGAGUUCUCUAUUACACAGCGAUAAAGAAGAAGAAAAGAGGCCAAAACCCCUUUGCCAUCCAUUUAACAAAUACUGAUUGAGCAUCUGCUAAGGGCCAGGCACAGCUCAAGGUGCUGGGUAAACAGACGCCCACCACGGUCCUUCUGGAGCCGUUAUCCCAGUGGGGUAACUGACGAGAAGAUAAGUAACUUGCAAUGGUGUAUCAGAGGUUAUAAGUGACAAAGGAGAGAGCAAAGCAGGAAUGAGUGGGAGCUGGGAGGGGUGCAAUUUGUAAA